UAAGAUAAAUUGAUACUGGUAGAGUAGGGUGCUGCUGUAAAGAUACUCAAAAAUGUGGAAGCAACUUUGGAACUGGGCAACAGGCAGAAGUUGGAACAAUUUGGAGGGCUCAGACGACAGAAAGAUGUGGGAAAGUUUGGAACUUCCUAGAGACUUAUUGAAUGGUUUUGAC
Molecule: long non-coding RNA, 172 nt
Organism: Sapajus apella (tufted capuchin)
Lineage: Eukaryota; Metazoa; Chordata; Mammalia; Primates; Cebidae
Exons: 2
Source: RefSeq, a predicted model, not a curated record